Molecule: ribosomal RNA, 882 nt
Filed under: Triticum aestivum (bread wheat)
Lineage: Eukaryota; Viridiplantae; Streptophyta; Magnoliopsida; Poales; Poaceae
Description: partial small subunit ribosomal RNA
Source: RNAcentral
AUGGCCACCACCGCCGCUCUCUCCUGCUCCUGCUCCCCGUCCCCGUCGCCUUCCUCCACGCUCCUCCUCAGGCGAACCGUCUCCGCCUUCCACCGCCGACCUGCCCAUGCCGGCGUCCGCCGCCCCCGCCUCGCCCCCUUGCACGUGGUGGACGACUCCAAGGAGGUGGAGGCGAGGUCGGAGACGGACAGGCUGGUGGACGGCCUGAACUUCGGGGAGCUGUGCAACGACUUCGAGUGCAUAAGCAGCCCGUACGUGGAGUCCACGGCCAGGCAGAUCGCCAGGGACAUCCUCGAGAUCCGCCAGGACAACCGCGCCCUCAGCUGCUACGCCGUCGCCGUCAAAUACAAGGAUCCUCUCAGGUCAUUUGCCGGGCGUGAGAAGUACAAGAGGCCAUUGUGGAUCACUGAGGCCCUGGAAAAACCUACGACAGUCCAGGAAAUGUCAAUGCAAUCCACGAGCAGUCUGACCAUCAAGUGGACGCUGAGGGGGAAACCCAAGAACGCCUUCUUCGCGGCGGCGGGAGGGGAGCUGGUUGUCCGCAUCGACUCGCAGUUCGUCCUGAACCAGAUCAGUGGGCAGGUGCUGGAGCACGUCGAGUCGUGGGACCUCUCCGCGUCGUCCCCUCUCGCCCAGGCCUACUUCUGGUUUUCCAGGAGGGUUUACUCCACCGUGGAGGCCGGCAAGGACACGAUCGAGGCUGCCAAGGGCGUGGCGUCGCGGCUGAACAAAGACGAUAAUCUGGAGGUCUAUCCUGACCCCCUGGGAGAUCCCACGAAGUUCUUUACGAGGCCGGAUGAUCUGAACCAAGACGUGGUUCAGAUUGGGCUCUUCCUGGCCGUCCUCUACUUCAUUGUACAGUUCCUGAAAACGACUCUGUGA